UGGAUCGUAGCUUAAUCUGGUUAAAGCGUUGGAUUGUGGCUCCAAAGAAUGCGGGUUCGAAUCCCGUCGGUCCACCCA
Molecule: transfer RNA, 78 nt
Filed under: Pricia sp.
Lineage: Bacteria; Pseudomonadati; Bacteroidota; Flavobacteriia; Flavobacteriales; Flavobacteriaceae
Also listed under: 2 other names
Description: tRNA-His
Rfam family: tRNA
About the family: Transfer RNA (tRNA) molecules are approximately 80 nucleotides in length. Their secondary structure includes four short double-helical elements and three loops (D, anti-codon, and T loops). Further hydrogen bonds mediate the characteristic L-shaped molecular structure. tRNAs have two regions of fundamental functional importance: the anti-codon, which is responsible for specific mRNA codon recognition, and the 3' end, to which the tRNAs corresponding amino acid is attached (by aminoacyl-tRNA synthetases). tRNAs cope with the degeneracy of the genetic code in two manners: having more than one tRNA (with a specific anti-codon) for a particular amino acid; and 'wobble' base-pairing, i.e. permitting non-standard base-pairing at the 3rd anti-codon position.
Source: RNAcentral